CGCAUCUGUGCAUGCAGCAUAUCAAUAAGCGGAGGAAAAGAAACUAACAAGGAUUCCCCUAGUAACGGCGAGUGAAGCGGGAAGAGCUCAAAUUUGAAAUCUUAAAGGGUUUCCCUUUACGAAUUGUAGUUUGAAGAAGUGUUUUCUGUUGAGGUUUUGGUAAAAGUUCUUUGGAAUAGGACAUCAUAGAGGGUGAGAAUCCCGUAUUUGACCUUUACUUUCAACUUUGUGAUACACUUUCAAAGAGUCGGAUUGUUUGGGAAUGCAGUCCAAAAUGGGUGGUAAAUUUCAUCUAAAGCUAAAUAUUGGCGAGAGACCGAUAGCGAACAAGUACCGUGAGGGAAAGGUGAAAAGAACUUUGAAAAGAGAGUUAAACAGUACGUGAAAUUGUCAAAAGGGAAGCGUUUGACACCAGUGUUGUUUUUCUGAAAAUCAAUUAAAGAACUGUUUAUGCUAAGCUGUUUAGACUUUAUCAGCUAUCUGUUUAGUUUUGAGCUUUUCUUUAAUGCACUUUUCAGUUAACAAGUCAACAUCAAUUUCUUUUGCUGUAAAAAAGCUUGAGGAAGGUGGCUUGAGAUUCGUCUUAAGUGUUUAUAGCCUCUUGCCUAUGCAGUCGGAGAGAUUGAGGUCUGCAGCGUAGAUCCUUCGGGGCUAAAUGCAUUUGUGCUAAGUUAUAGCAUUUUAUAGACAACUUGUUGACUAUGAUUUGUCUUGUAGCUUACUCGCUUAUGUUAUUUUACCUACGCUUAGGAUGUUGAAUCUGUGCGAGACUAC
RNAcentral lists this ribosomal RNA (774 nucleotides) under uncultured Neocallimastigales. RNAcentral describes it as "partial large subunit ribosomal RNA". It matches the Rfam family "Eukaryotic large subunit ribosomal RNA", at positions 26 to 644 of the family's 3401-position model. The record is from RNAcentral. Lineage: Eukaryota; Fungi; Neocallimastigomycota; Neocallimastigomycetes; Neocallimastigales.